Molecule: ribosomal RNA, 482 nt
Filed under: uncultured bacterium
Lineage: Bacteria
Description: partial 16S ribosomal RNA
Rfam family: Bacterial small subunit ribosomal RNA
Source: RNAcentral
AUUGAACGCUGGCGGCAUGCCUUACACAUCCAAGUCGAACGGUAACAGGUCUUCGGAUGCUGACGAGUGGCGAACGGGUGAGUAAUACAUCGGAACGUGCCCGAUCGUGGGGGAUAACGAGGCGAAAGCUUUGCUAAUACCGCAUACGAUCUACGGAUGAAAGCGGGGGAUCUUCGGACCUCGCGCGGACGGAGCGGCCGAUGGCAGAUUAGGUAGUUGGUGGGAUAAAAGCUUACCAAGCCGACGAUCUGUAGCUGGUCUGAGAGGAUGAUCAGCCACACUGGGACUGAGACACGGCCCAGACUCCUACGGGAGGCAGCAGUGGGGAAUUUUGGACAAUGGGCGAAAGCCUGAUCCAGCCAUGCCGCGUGCAGGAUGAAGGCCUUUGGGUUGUAAACUGCUUUUGUACGGAACGAAAAGCCUCUUUCUAAUAAAGAGGGGUCAUGACGGUACCGUAAGAAUAAGCACCGGCUAACUACGUG